GUGGGUAUGGUCGAUGUGGCAGGUCCUAAACAUAAAUUGGGCUUCCGAGUGUCAAAUUGCAUCUGGUGAAGACUGAAGACUUCUAUCCUGGAAUGUCUUUGACCUCACUUGCCAUUUGCAGUGAAGAUUUAUCAGCUCCAAAUGGAAAGGAAUGGGAAUUGAUUGUGAAGGCAAACAUCAGGCUGUUAUCCUGAAAGAGAAGCAAAACAGACCUA
This 215-nucleotide long non-coding RNA is filed under the name Homo sapiens (human). Lineage: Eukaryota; Metazoa; Chordata; Mammalia; Primates; Hominidae. The record is from RNAcentral.